GAAUGCAAUAAUUUGGCCUCCAACAGCCCCUGUCCACUGGGGGGGCUGCAGCGGUAGGUUUGCUUGCGAUGCACCAAAGAAGAAACCCCGCCAUGCAACGCACAAGUGUUUCCCACCUCUGGUGUUAAUGUGAGGAUUACGCAGUAUUUGGGUUCAUCACAACAUACUGAUACUUUGUGGGCUAAGCUGAAUCCUUCCUACAAAAAAAGCUUCAGUCGUUCAACAGUCCGGGGUCUCCGCUGUCGUAUUUUACGCUUCGUAAUGCGGCACACAUUUUCAAUGGAAGACUGGUCUGGACUGCAGGCGGGCCAGGAAAGUACCCGCACUCUUUUUUUUAAUGUAACCACGCUGUUGUAACACGUGCUGAAUGUGGCUUGGCAUUGUCUUGCUGAAAUAAGCAGGGGCGUCCAUGAAAAAGACGGCGCUGAGAUGGCAGCAUAUGUUGUUCCCAAACCUGUAUGUACCUUUCAGAAAUAAUGGUGUCUUCACAGAUGUGUAAGUUACCCACGCCUUUGGCACUAAUGCACCCUCAUACCAUCUUAGAUGCUGGCUUUUGAACUUUGCGUCGAUAACAGUCUGGAUGGUUCGCUUCCGCUUUAGCUUGGAUGACACUGUGUCGAAUAUUUCCAAAAACAAUUUGAAAUGUUGACUCCUCAGUCCACAGAACACUUUUCCACUUUGCAUCAGUCCAUCUUAGAUCAUCUCUGGCCCAGAUGUUGUUGAUGAAUGGCUUUCGCUUUGCAUAGUAGAGCUUUAACUUGCACUUACAGAUGUAGCGACGAACUGUAUUUACUGACAGUGGUUUUCUGAAGUGUUCCUGAGCCCAUGUGGUGAUAUCCUUUAGAGAUUGAUGUCGGUUUUUGAUACAGUGCUGUCUGAGGGAUCGAAGGUCACGGUCAUUCAAUGUUGGUUUCCGGCCAUGCCGCUUACGUGGAGUGAUUUCUCCAGAUUCUCUGAACAUUUUGAUGAUAUUUUGGACCAUAGAUGUUGAAAUCCCUAAAUUUCUUGCAAUUGCACUUUGAGAAACGUUGUUCUUAAACUGUUUGACUAUUUGCUCACGCAGUUGUGGACAAAGAGGUGUACCUCGCCCCAUCCUUUCUUGUGAAAGACUGAGCAUUUUUUGGGAAACUGUUUUCUACCCAAUCAUGGCACCCACCUGUUCCCAAUUAGUCAGCACACCUGUGGGAUGUUCCAAAUAAGUGUUUGAUGAACAUUCCUCAACUUUAUCAGUAUGUAUUGCCACUUUUCCCAACUUCUUUGUCACGUGUUGCUGGCAUCAAAUUCUAAAGUUAAUGAUUAUUUGCAAAAAAAAAAAAGUUUAUCGGUUUGAACAUCAAAUAUGUUGUCUUUGUAGCAUAUUCAACUGAAUAUGGGUUGAUAAUGAUUUGCAAAUCAUUGGAUUCCGUCUAUAUUUACAUCUAACACAAUUUCCCAACUCAUAUGGAAUCGGGGUUUGUACAUUAAAACAUUCUUCUUCAUACUACAUUAAUAUAUGCUCAUUUUAAACUUUUUAAUUCAGAGAGAGAAAUCACAAUUAAGUCAAUUCAGCAAAACUUUAUAUAUAUUAAACUGGGCAGCAAGGUGGAGAGGGAUUAGUGAAGUGGUUCUCAAAUUUUUCUUGUCAUCCCCCACUUUGGACAAGGGGGAGUUUUCAAGCCCCACCUGCCCCCAUCGCCCCAACAGAACACUAAUGCCAUGAUUAACAUUUUCAUAUUUAUUGAACGUCAAGUAACAUUCAAAUUGUAUACAUUCAAACUCAAUAACAUAAAAUAACAUCAAGUUCAACAAUAAAUAAAAUAACUGUGCAGAUGUGGUAUAACUUGCAUCAAGUUCAAUAAUAAAUAGAAUAACUAUUCUGCCAGUUUUCUUUGAAAGAAAUCAAGUAGCUUAUUGGCAUGAUUGGGGUGUGUGGUCUCGAGGUGUCUCUUUAAUUUGUUGGGUCUCAUGCUGUCUGCUGCUAACGGUCUCACAGGGGUCCCUCCUCUGCCCCCACCACCGUUGCCGUGAAUCCAAGCGCAAGAUACCCUUAUUUUCUUUUCGGUUGGCUUUUUGGUUGAUUAAGCCCGUCAGAUUUUUGUUUCUCUGCAGGCGCCGGCUCAGAAUUGACGACCUUUGAGGUGCGAGUCACAAAGUUAUCCAUUUUGUGUAAUUGUGGUCCACACAUUAGCCUGCUACCCAUCCGCGUGAAAGAUUGUUCCGCUUAGCCCCGCCCACAUUAGUUGCUGUUGCUAUGUCUGUCAAACUUUCGCUCCUAUCUAGAAAUUUAAAGCCUAGAGGAAAAAUAAGUAAUUCACACUUAUUUACAUAACGGAUUUCACAGACAGAAUCACUAGGUGAUUUACAGUGUGUAUAGAAAAUGAAAGCAUAGUAAAAAAAAAAUAAUCUAAGAAUAUAAUUAAAAAUAUAUUUAAAGUGAAAUUUCCUCCCGUACCUCGCGCCCCACCUGUCAUGUGUCUAUUCCCCACCAGUGGGGCCCGCCCCACACUUUGAGAAACGCUGGGUUAGUGCAUCUUCCUCACAAGACGA
Nerophis ophidion (straightnose pipefish) is the source of this 2526-nucleotide long non-coding RNA. RefSeq lists it as uncharacterized. NCBI's taxonomy places the organism in Eukaryota, Metazoa, Chordata, Actinopteri, Syngnathiformes, Syngnathidae. The record is from RefSeq and is a predicted model, not a curated record. The transcript is spliced from 3 exons.